RNAcentral lists this ribosomal RNA (527 nucleotides) under Cortinarius casimirii. RNAcentral describes it as "eukaryotic LSU rRNA". It matches the Rfam family "Eukaryotic large subunit ribosomal RNA", at positions 1 to 525 of the family's 3401-position model. The record is from RNAcentral. Lineage: Eukaryota; Fungi; Basidiomycota; Agaricomycetes; Agaricales; Cortinariaceae.
GUGACCUCAAAUCAGGUAGGACUACCCGCUGAACUUAAGCAUAUCAAUAAGCGGAGGAAAAGAAACUAACAAGGAUUCCCCUAGUAACUGCGAGUGAAGCGGGAAAAGCUCAAAUUUAAAAUCUGGCGGUCUUAUGGCUGUCCGAGUUGUAAUCUAGAGAAGUGUUAUCCGCGCUGGACCGUGUACAAGUCUCCUGGAAUGGAGCAUCAUAGAGGGUGAGAAUCCCGUCUUUGACAUGGACUGCCAGGGCUUUGUGAUGCGCUCUCAAAGAGUCGAGUUGUUUGGGAAUGCAGCUCAAAAUGGGUGGUAAAUUCCAUCUAAAGCUAAAUAUUGGCGAGAGACCGAUAGCGAACAAGUACCGUGAGGVAAAGAUGAAAAGAACUUUGGAAAGAGAGUUAAMCAKUACGUGAAAUUGCUGAAAGGGAAACGCUUGAAGUCAGUCGCGUCAUCCAGGAUUCAACCUUGCUUUUGCUUGGUGCACUUCCUGGUUUGAUGGGUCAGCAUCAAUUUUGACUAUUGGAAAAAGG